This is a long non-coding RNA of Aegilops tauschii subsp. strangulata, 1456 nucleotides long. RefSeq lists it as uncharacterized. NCBI's taxonomy places the organism in Eukaryota, Viridiplantae, Streptophyta, Magnoliopsida, Poales, Poaceae. The record is from RefSeq and is a predicted model, not a curated record.
UGCGGUGAUCGUGGCCUCACCGUACAUCCCGUCAUAGCCUCAGAACCCAACCGACCCUACUGCUGUCGUCCCACACUGGAUCGAUUCGCCGCUCCGCCACGUACAUGCAGUUCAAGGCCUCUACCCCAGGCCGUUCAAUGCCUUACCGGCUGCCGGACUGGUUCCCCUAGUAGACCCACCGCGGCCCAGGGCUUCACCCCGCUCGCAACCCACCGGCCUGAUUUUACAUGCCGCCGGCUCCCUCCAUCGACCAGCCACGUGUCGCGCACGCCCCUCCAGCGACCUACCACGCGCCCCGCACACCACACAAGUAGCAAAUGGGACUGACUGGGAGUGAUCCCUGAACCAUUUCAUUAAAGGCCAUGGUUUCCAACAAUGCUAAUGCUACUAGAAAGGAGCUGGAGAUGAAGCCUCUUUGGCUUCUCCAAUUAGCAUGUUUGGCCAGUCCUGAAGCGCUUCCUCAAGCUCUUCGACGAUGACUGGGCACCCAUCGAGGACGAGAGCUGCCGCAUUUAGUCUAGUUUCUUAUUUUAGUUUAGUUCAGUAACUAAUUUUUGUUCUGUUCAGUUCUUCUUUACAUUCUUCUAUACAACAGCAGGGAGAAGGUGCCUGAGACCCAUCCUGUCCUCUAUACAGAUUCAGAGUUUAACACAUCAAUGGAAGUUUGUUCUCAAAACUGAAAUUGUUCUGCAUGUACUGAUAGAUUAGCUGUUAAUUAUUGGAGUGUUCCGUUCUUGUAGAAUAAAAAUAUGAUGUAUGCAUUGCUUCUUGGCCCAGCUGAGAGAACCCUCAUGUUAAAAAGUAUAAAGCAGUUUUGAAGCAAUUCCCAGUGUCUUUAGAAGCAUUCAUGGUUAAAAAGCCACGACAACCUCCUCCGUUCGAGUUGAGCACUGGUCAUCAUCCAAGUUGAGCAAUAGGUGUCGUCCAAGUUCAAAGAGGGUUGUAUGCAAGUACAGAAGUUUGUUUAAGUGAGAAAAAAUACGGGGUUUUGACAAUAUUAUGUAUGAUUCAUUUGUUCAACCUUAGAACCUGGCAAUAUUCAGUCUAUUUUUCUAUGAUGAAGGCACGCAUGAAGUCCUGUGCAAUGGUUAUCCCCCUUGUGCUUCAAAGAUUCAUAUUUUGUUUCUUCAAAUGUGUUGUGCGCCUGUUUGAUAAGGUAAAACAAAGUAAAAAUGUGAAAAUGUCAUUAAAGACACUUGGAAGUACAAAUGUAAAAAAUAAAGAAGUCCUGAUUCUCGCCAAGUAGGAAGUUUUGGAGAAGAAAUCAUAAGUUUUUAAAAGAAGGAAUGGUAAAAAUGUAAGUCUGUUCAACUAUAUAAACCAUAAAGGUACGAUGGUGAUGACAUUGACAGUAAGGAUAAGGAUGAGAAAGAAAAUUAAAAACUAAAACUAAAAGAACAUCGAGUGAUUAUUUUUUGAGAAGUACAAACUCUCUAGUACCAUAAGUACCAUAAAU